Molecule: long non-coding RNA, 166 nt
Organism: Toxotes jaculatrix (banded archerfish)
Lineage: Eukaryota; Metazoa; Chordata; Actinopteri; Toxotidae
Exons: 3
Source: RefSeq, a predicted model, not a curated record
GAUGGCAGCACUCAAUGAUGUUCGGCAGUACCUGAGUGUUGAAGGAGUACAGGUGGCGGUCUUUGAUGCCACAAAUACAACAAGAGAAAGAAGAGGGACCAUCGUCAAGUUCGCUGAGCAGAAUGGGUUCAAGGUGUUGUGUGUGGAAUCUGUGUGUGAGGACCCA